UACGAAGGGGGCUAGCGUUGCUCGGAAUCACUGGGCGUAAAGCGCACGUAGGCGGACUCUUAAGUCAGGGGUGAAAUCCUGGAGCUCAACUCCAGAACUGCCUUUGAUACUGGGAGUCUUGAGUUCGGGAGAGGUGAGUGGAACUGCGAGUGUAGAGGUGAAAUUCGUAGAUAUUCGCAAGAACACCAGUGGCGAAGGCGACUACCUGGCCUGUUCUUGACGCUGAGGCGCGAAAGCUAGGGGAGCAAACGGG
RNAcentral lists this ribosomal RNA (253 nucleotides) under uncultured bacterium. Its description in RNAcentral is "partial 16S ribosomal RNA". It matches the Rfam family "Bacterial small subunit ribosomal RNA", at positions 524 to 776 of the family's 1533-position model. The record is from RNAcentral.